Molecule: long non-coding RNA, 7153 nt
Organism: Rattus norvegicus (Norway rat)
Lineage: Eukaryota; Metazoa; Chordata; Mammalia; Rodentia; Muridae
Source: RefSeq, a predicted model, not a curated record
CGGGGAGGGGAAAGAGGGUAGAGGGAUGAGAGGACCCGCACUGGUCCUGCAAGAGGGCGAAAGAACGACUGAAACAGCAAAACACGGGAGCAUCCUAGGAGCGCUCCGGGCCCACAUUACAUUUAAAAUGAAUCUCUUGGUUGAGAAGACCGAUGGGUGGGUAAAGAAUGUGGUGUGCAGAUGCCUCAGGAUGCUCAUCCAAAAACGUCUGGGGGUGGGGGGGGGGUGGGGCUGGAGAGAUGGCUCAGUGGUUAGAGCACUGACUGCUCUUCCAGAGGUCCUGAGUUCAAUCCCCAGCAACCACGUGGUGGCUCACAACCAUCUGUAAUGGAAUCCGAUGCCCUCUUCUGGUUUGUCUGAAGAAAACGACAGUGUGCUUACAUACAUAAAAUAAAUGAGUCUUUAAAAAAAAAAAAUCUGGGAUUGGCAGCACAGGAGACAGAAAUAGAAGGACCCCUGGGGCUUACUGGACAGUUGGUCUAGCUGAAUCUGUGAAGGCUGGGUUCAGUGAAAGACUGUGUCUCAAACAAUUUUUAUAUUUUAUACCAAAUACUAGAUGUUAAAAGUCGUUUACUUUUUCAUUGUAAUCUAGGGUGAAAGGCUUUUUUAAAAAAGUGUUUCCUAUGUCCCAGGCUACCUUUGAACUCAUUAUGUAAUCAAAGAAAGCCUUGAACUCAGACUCCUCCUGUCUCUACUUCCCAAGUGCUAAGGUUGUAGGCAUGUAUCACCAGGCCUGGGCGAGUGUAGCUCGUGAGAAUUUUGGUGAAGGUUGACCUUUCUCGCAUCCACAAACCCCUUUUACCCAGACAGUUUUGGCUUGUGGUACCCAUCUGACACAUUCUGUCCAUCAGAAGACAAGCAGAAGCAGUCUAAGUGUGGAUUCUGAGAAAGUUUUUUCCUUUCCUCAGAAAACAAAAGGCACAGACUGGUUAGUCACUUCCCUUUAACCCUGUGUCCUUCUUCUUCUCCUUUUCGCUCUCUUCCUUUUCUGUAGAGAAGACAGGCAGCCUCAAGAUGAUGCAGUGGUCAUCUUGGGACCAUGAGGGCCAGUGUGAAACUGUACCCACAUCCAGAGUGACAGGGCAGAAACACACAACUUGACACAAGCUAGCAUCAUCUGAAGCUCUCACAUCAAGUGAGAAAAUGCCUCCGUAACUCCCAGCAGUAGGACAUUUUAUUAAUGAAUGAUCAGUGAGGAAGGGCCCAGCCCACUGUGUGUGGUGCCAUCCCUGGGCUGCUGGUUCUGGGUCCUAUAAGAAAGCAGGCUGAGCAAACCAGUAAGCAGCAUCCUUCCAUGGCCUCUGCAUCAGCUCCUGCCUCCAGGUACCCGCGCUGUUUUGAGUUCAAGUUCGACUUCCCUCAGUGAUGGAUUGUUACCUGGAAGUGUAAGCUGAACUAAGCCCCUUGCUUCCCAAAUUUCUUUGGUCAUGGUGAUUCAUCACAGCCAUAGAAACCCAAACUAAGACAAUGUCUGAGUCUCUGGUAGAGAUGCUGAUCCCCAUCGAGCCCUGUUUCUACCCCUGGAAUUCCUAUCUAGGGAGACAAAUCAACUCCUCUCUUAAAGUCAACACAUUAGCUUGGCUUUCUGUUUUUCAGCUUGUUACAGCCUAAGGCAUAGAGCUACAUUCUAGCAAACACAGAAAUGCUAUGCCACUGGACCACAGCAACUUUCACAGACUAAUUCUGACACAGUCUCUUGCAUCGGCUCCCCAGUACUGGGGUAACGGUUCUGUGCCAACGUGCCGGACUCCACACACAAUCCCAUGAAACCUUUCAACCUUUGUCUCUAUUCUUCUCUUAUCCCACUUAACUCCAUGUGUUUAAUAUUUUAUUUAUACUUCAGUAUUGCCCUUUUCUCUUCUUUGGAAGAAGGCAACACGUGAGCAAUUUGGAAUCUUUGCUCUCUUGUUCCCAGACUAUUACCAUACUUCUACAUCCUUCUGGGUGUUCUCCAGUAGACCAUCAUGUCGGUCUCCUGAGUUACAGGCUCCCAUGAUCUUUGGCAGGGUAUCCAAUGUCUGUCAAGACCUUGCUUCCUCUGGUUCCUAUGUCCUCAUUUCCCACUGCUGUUCCCAUCUGAGUUACUUUUUUCUUACCUUGAUGAAAAACUAUGACCAAGUUCCUUGGGCUAGAGUUCAUGAUCAUCACGGCAGGGAAUGCGGAAUGGGGCAGGCAGGCACGGCGCUGGAAUAGUAGCUGAGAGCUUACAACUGGUCCGUAAAUAGGUAGAAAGAACUAACUGGGAAUGAUGAAGGAAUCUGAAAGCUCAAAGCCCACGCCUCAGUGACACAUCUUCUCCAACAUGGCUGCACAUCUGAACCCUUCCAAUUAGUCCCACCUCAUACAGACCAAGCAUUCAAAUAUAUGAGGGCAUUCUUGUUUAAACCGUCACUUUCUAGCCCCAGGUCCCCAUAAGAUUGUACUCAUACCAGUGUAUUGAGACCAACUUCAAAAGCCCCUAUAGCCUUCCACAGUCUCAAAACAGUUUAGGAGUCCAUAUGCCAAGGCAGGUAGAAAUCCAUGGGAGGCCUCCCUUUCUCUGAGGAGAAAGGGAAAGGGAGAUAGGGGAGGGGAGGGGAUAGGAGAGAGAAGAACUGGGAAGAGAGGAAGGAGGGGAAGCUGUGAUUGGGAUGUAAAAACAAUUAGUGACAAAAUUAAAAGAAAAAAGAAAGUGAAAACUAGGGAAGUGUCCUGUAAACAUUUCUGUACAAUGCAAAACCUCUUUUGAGUAUUCAAUUUAUUUAUUUGUCAUAGAAACAUUAGAGUCACCAAUUAUGGAGAAUAUGAAUAUAUAUAUAUAUUCAGAGAUGAUCUCUUAAUUGUAACUCCAGUAAAAUUAAAAAGCAAAGCAUAGGCUUUCAAUAUACAAUAGCAAAGAACACAUAUUGCCAUUCCAAAAGGGAGGUUUAAGGGCACAGAUGAAAUACUGGACCAAAGCAAGUUUGAAAACCAGCAGAUUAAACUCCAAAUCCUUUAACUUCAUGUCUCGUGUCAAAGGGCUUAGAUGGCCCCACCCUUCCAGCUUUGCUAAGUCUUUCUCUUGGGCGGGUUCCACUCUGUCUGCAGAUUUUCUUGGCAGACAUCCUACAGUUCUGACGUCUCCAGCAUCUUGGGGUCCUCAACAUAAUCUAAAUGUCACUUUCACAGCUUCACAAAUGGUCUCCCUGAGCCUCCACUCCAGGGACUCCCCUGGCCUCAGCUGCUUCCUGUAACCUUGGACGAAGAGUGUACAAUCCAAUGAUCCUUGUAUCCUUCCUUACUCUAAAGCCAGAACCACUGUGGCUGAAGCUUCUAAGCUUGGCUGCCUGAUGGGAUGGCGCCAGCCUCACUCCUUGAAUUGUAUUUCCAUAAACAUUGAUUCAUUGCUUCUUUUUUUAGAACCAGAGAGUUCCUUAGACUUUUCCUUUCAGAGGUUACAGGGUCAGUUAGGUGGGGGUCACCCAAUGAAAGUACCUCUCCCUUUAUUCCGUUUUGUACCAGGCACCUCCUUGUCUCUUUCCUCAGAACCUUUGGCUCCGACUUUAAAUCUCCUGGUGCUAUUCUUCUUUACAAACUGUACAUCUCGUAUCUCUUUUUCAUUUUAGCUCUGCAUAAGAGUGAUCACUAAUACCCAAUAGAUGGAGGCAAUCUUGAAAUCUCUUCUGCCAAUAAAAUUACUCAAGAAUGCUCCAAUUUACCCUCAGACAUAUUCUUAGGACAAGAGCCCAAAGCAGUCAUAUUUGUAGCCAAAUAUCACAACUAUGGUCUCCGGGCAAGUUGCUAAUAUCAUCCCCCUUUAAAAUUAUAGAGAGAAUCUCUUAUGCAAUGUAAAGAAGCAUCAUCUGUCAAUAAAAUGUUGUUGGCAUAUUAGCUUGGCUAGAAAAUAGGAAGGUCAAGGUUCCAGUACAGAAAGAGGGUUUUUGAAAUAGAGUCAGGUGCAGGAAGUUCACCCUGAAACUCUGAGGAGACAGUUACAUGAAACUGAAGGAUAGGUAACCAUCCACAUGGUACUCAUAAAAUAGGAUAAAUGGGUUAAAUAAGUUACAAAUUAGUCAGGGAAGAAGCCAAAGCUUAUGGCCUCAGCACUUAUUCACAUAUAAUUAAGUCUUAGAGUUGUUAUUUUUGGGAACAAAGAGGCCAGGUGGAAAAGCCUACAGCUAUAGAAAUCUCUUGCACUGGGCCUCCAUAGUCUACAUUGCGCUUAGCUUUAUUGUCUUCCAAGCUCUUAUUAGCAUGCCUCAUUAAGCCUUGAUUACAAUAUUCUACUGCUUUCUAGACCAAAGUCUUCAUGUUUCUCUACAAAACAGCAUGGUCAAGCCUUCCACAGCAAUACCUCAAUGUGAAAGCUAAGCUUUCGUCUAAGUUGUUUUUCUGUUGCCAUGACAAAAUACCAUGACCAAGGCAACUUACAGAAGGAAGCAUUUUAUUUGGGUUACAGUUCAUGACCCUAGGGGGCAUGGCAGCCAACAGGAGAGUAUGGCUCUAGAAGUUGAGAACUUACAUUUGACCUACAGAGAUAAGAUAGUGAGAGCUGACAGGCAAUGGUGUGGGCUUUUGAAACCUCAAAGUUGGUCCCUAUUGACACACCUCCUCCAACAAGGCCACACCUCCCAAUCCUUCCCAAACAGUUCUACCAACUGGGGACCACUUAUUCAAACAUGUGAGCCUAUGGGGACCAUUCUCAUUCAAACCACCACCCUCCAUUUGGAAGUGGAAACUUACUUUAUAUUUGUGUUUAUUUGUAUUGUAGUUGUGUGUUUUAUGUGUGUUAAUGGUAUGUUGUUUAAAAUGUACAUAUAAGUGUGUGUUUGUGCAUGUGUGUGUGUGUGUGUGUGUGUGUGUGUGUAAUCUGCUCUGCUGCUUCUUCCUGUGAACUCUUACUCAUAUCUGAAUACUUCCUCUCUAGUCCCCCCCCCAUUAUGAAACUGUCACAUUUUCCUCUACUUUCAAGAUCCUCUUGCUAACGGCAAUUAUCACAUUUCAAUGAUAUAGAUAUUUCUCUGUUUUUGCAUGGUAUGUGUGUAUCUGAUUUGGGUGCCUGAUGAAGACAGUGUACAGUUCACGGUAUCUUUGGGGGGAUCUUACCAGUUCAUCACCCACUGUAUUUGUAACAACCUUAUUGAUUAGGAAGCUUGUCAUGGUUAGUCUUGGUGACUUGAAACUGGAAGGAGAAGCUAUUAUUAGAGAUGGUGUGUUUAUGGCCACUAGAUCCAUGAUAAGCUAUUAAGAGGUGAAGGAAGGCACACACACACACACACACACACACACACACACACACACACACACCUAUAUGUACAUUUUGAGCAUUAUAAAAUCAACAAAUGUUAGACACACAACACUUCCAAAGCGGGGUGAUGGUGUAUUUUAAGUAUUCUCAGAAAUAUAUCUCGGCCCACUGGCUAAUGAGCUGGUAGUCACACUUUUUUGUGACUGUUUCUUACUCUCCCAACUAAAUCCAAGUCAUGCUAUGUGAGAUAAGGAAUCACACCAUCAUUCAACACUGGCUCAAGCAUGACCCUCUCAAUAUGUCUGCAAUGUAGGAGGGAGAAGAAGUAUUACAUCAUAGGAACAACAUCCAUUCUGUGUGAUACCCUGAAAUAGCAUGCCUCUGCUUCCUCUUGAUGUCUGUUUUGUGGAAUUUUGUUUGAUUAUCUCCAUAUAUGGCUAAGUUGGAAGUCAUGUGACCCUGGGCCCUUGGCAGGACUCAAACACUUGAGAAGCCACAAUAGGGAAAAAUGGAAGUGAUUGACAGGCUUUUGUCAGAGUGGAACAUUGAGUUAGUUCUGAAAAAGCCAAGGGGUUUUAACAAGCUUUGUCCUGCCCCUGGCUUUGAGCAAUUCACUUCAUGAUCAAGUUCUAGAACCUGGAGACAGUUUAGCAGUUAAGAGUAUUUACAGCUCUUGAAAAGGACCUGAGUGCAGUUCCUAGUACUCACAGCAGGCAACCACAAAUUCCUUGGAACUGCUCUAUGGGAUCUGAAGUCUUACUUGGCCUUCACAGACAUGGGCACACACACAGUGACAGGAACACAUACACAUAAAUAAAACCCAAAAUGAAUCUUAAAUAAAAAGAAAACAAAAAAGUUCUAAUGGAGACACAGUGUAGGGACUAUUAAUCACACCUUUUUGUUAGCAGCUAGUACAAAGUUGCUGGGACAGAUGACCUGGAAAGCAAACGUGUCCUUGUAGGAGAGUCAGCCUGACAGCACCUCACUGCUAUGUGAUUCUGCCAUUGUCAUGUAUGCCAGUGCUGAAGCACACUCAGUGCAUCUGUGAUAUCAGUAGAAAUGGACUGGAAAUACACAUAUACAUAUAUCCACAUGCUAGUGGCCCAAGAAACAGAGGUGUAACAAGGAAGCACAGUAGAUUUUCUUUGUGCUUUAAAAGCUCAACUUCCAUGUGAUCAUGCCAGCUUGGUGCUUGUAUGACUCCAGCUAUGAAAAGGAAGAGGUUAGCAAAAAGAUUUUCUUCCCUUACACCAGGUCUUUGGGGUUCGUUUUUUUUUUUGUUAUUGUCAUUUUCACCACUAGAGUAAGAGUGGGCAGCAUAGGGUGGAAAUAGUCUCACACUAAUUUUAGAGCAUUUGCAUAGCAUUCUUAGAACAGGGUCUUUCUGUGACCUCACUGAAAGGAGCAACUGGACAAACAGGAACAGAACAGAAAGAUGACGUUCUUGUGAGGCUCUUUCAGAGUUUGCUGACACUUCAUACUGUUCUGUAAGCUUUGCAGAUGAGACAGCAGUUUUCAUCAAAUCUCUGAACUUUGCUUGCAUGGUUGUCGUGGCUCAGUAGCCUUGUUUUGCGGGAGGAUGCUUCUGCAACUUCUCCGAAGACCUGAACUAGGGAGGACGCUUCUGCAACUUCUCCGAAGACCUGAACUAGGGAGGACGCUUCUGCAACUUCUCCGAAGACCUGAACUAGGGAGGACGCUUCUGCAACUUCUCCGAAGACCUGAACUAGGUCACCAGAAACUGCUGCCUUCAUUUCCAGGCUCCGCAAGGGAGAAGACACAGCUCAUGACUCCCCACACACUCGCUGGAUGGAGUACCGGGCUGUAGCCUCCACAUUCCACACUGCUAGUAUUUUCUCUACCAAACUCUUGUUGACAAAUGAGAGUAAUACAUUACCCUACACAGUCAAAUAAAUACUCUAAUCGGACAGCUCCAGGUUGCCAGCA